Molecule: microRNA precursor, 115 nt
Filed under: Marmota monax (woodchuck)
Lineage: Eukaryota; Metazoa; Chordata; Mammalia; Rodentia; Sciuridae
Source: RNAcentral
AUGCGAAUCACCAGGGAUCUCCUGAGAACGCAGAUCCUGAUUUAUUGGGUCUGGGUGGGGGUGGGGGUGAGGCCGGAGACACUGCAUUUCUACUGAGUUCCCAGGUGAUGCGGAU